RNAcentral lists this ribosomal RNA (301 nucleotides) under uncultured bacterium. RNAcentral's name for it is "partial 16S ribosomal RNA". It matches the Rfam family "Bacterial small subunit ribosomal RNA", at positions 509 to 808 of the family's 1533-position model. The record is from RNAcentral.
CAGCCGCCGCGGUAAUACGUAGGUCCCGAGCGUUGUCCGGAUUUAUUGGGCGUAAAGUGAGCGCAGGCGGUUAGAUAAGUCUGAAGUUAAAGGCUGUGGCUUAACCAUAGUACGCUUUGGAAACUGUUUAACUUGAGUGCAAGAGGGGAGAGUGGAAUUCCAUGUGUAGCGGUGAAGUGCGUAGAUAUAUGGAGGAACACCGGUGGCGAGAGCGGCUCUCUGGCUUGUAACUGACGCUGAGGCUCGAAAGCGUGGGGAGCAAACAGGAUUAGAUACCCCAGUAGUCCCUGUCUCUUAUACC